Molecule: ribosomal RNA, 498 nt
Filed under: Arabidopsis thaliana (thale cress)
Lineage: Eukaryota; Viridiplantae; Streptophyta; Magnoliopsida; Brassicales; Brassicaceae
Source: RNAcentral
GGCAAAGUUGGCAUGUGAUACCUUUUCGGAAAGCCCAAAGACAGUCCUCCGACGAAAUAAGCAGGACAAUGGAACUUUUCCAUUGACUUUUUGUCGACCCCAAAUUUUGACCUUUAAGUACUUUUUCGGGCAUUUUCGUGAUUUGGGCUAUAUUACGGACCCAAAAUUACUUGUUCAAGCAUUGUUUUCGAAUUUUUUCAUGCAUCAAAGCUCGUUAAGACUAGAUGGGGUAUCCCUACAUAGCGGGUGGGACCCACGGCGAAUGGUUCAUCAAGUCUUCAAAAAAGAAUAUAUACGAUUGCAUUGCAUAUACUAACGGAUGCGAUCAUACCAGCACUAAUGCACCGGAUCCCAUCAGAACUCCGCAGUUAAGCGUGCUUGGGCGAGAGUAGUACUAGGAUGGGUGACCUCCCGGGAAGUCCUCGUGUUGCAUCCCUCUUUUAUGUUUAACCUUUUUUUUUUUGGUUAAAACUUUAUGACUCCAUAACUUGUAGACUG